Molecule: ribosomal RNA, 473 nt
Filed under: uncultured bacterium
Lineage: Bacteria
Description: partial 16S ribosomal RNA
Rfam family: Bacterial small subunit ribosomal RNA
Source: RNAcentral
GAUGAACGCUAGCGGCAGGCCUAAUACAUGCAAGUCGAACGGGUGGUCGCAAGACCACUAGUGGCGCACGGGUGCGUAACGCGUAACCAACCUGCCCCGAUCUGGGGGAUAGCCCGCCGAAAGGCGGAUUAAUACCGCAUAUACCCGCAGCCUGGCAUCAGGCAACGGGGAAAGAUUUAUUGGAUCGGGAUGGGGUUGCGUGACAUUAGCUAGUUGGCGGGGUAAGGGCCCACCAAGGCGACGAUGUCUAGGGGACCUGAGAGGGUGAUCCCCCACACUGGCACUGAGAUACGGGCCAGACGCCUACGGGAGGCAGCAGUAGGGAAUAUUGGGCAAUGGGCGAGAGCCUGACCCAGCCAUGCCGCGUGCCGGAUGAAGGCCUUCUGGGUUGUAAACGGCUUUUCUCAGGGAAGAAAAAGACCUUGCGAGGUACACUGACGGUACCUGAGGAAUAAGCACCGGCUAACUCCGUG